This 505-nucleotide ribosomal RNA is filed under the name uncultured bacterium. RNAcentral's name for it is "partial 16S ribosomal RNA". It matches the Rfam family "Bacterial small subunit ribosomal RNA", at positions 28 to 507 of the family's 1533-position model. The record is from RNAcentral.
GACGAACGCUGGCGGCGUGCCUAAUACAUGCAAGUGGGACGCAAGGACACACACUGUGCUUGCACACCGUGUUUUCUUGAGUCGCGAACGGGUGAGUAACGCGUAGGUAACCUGCCUAUUAGCGGGGGAUAACUAUUGGAAACGAUAGCUAAUACCGCAUAAUAUUAAUUAUUGCAUGAUAAUUGAUUGAAAGAUGCAAGCGCAUCACUAGUAGAUGGACCUGCGUUGUAUUAGCUAGUUGGUAAGGUAAGAGCUUACCAAGGCGACGAUACAUAGCCGACCUGGGAGGGUGAUCGGCCGCACUGGGACUGAGACACGGCCCAGACUCCUACGGGAGGCAGCAGUAGGGAAUCUUCGGCAAUGGACGAAAGUCUGACCGAGCAACGCCGCGUGAGGGAAGAAGGGUUUCGGAUCGUAAAGCUCUGUUGUAAGUCAAGAACGUGUGUGAGAGUGGAAAGUUCACACAGUGACGGUAGCUUACCAGAAAGGGACGGCUAACUACGUG